Molecule: ribosomal RNA, 253 nt
Filed under: uncultured bacterium
Lineage: Bacteria
Description: partial 16S ribosomal RNA
Rfam family: Bacterial small subunit ribosomal RNA
Source: RNAcentral
UACGUAGGGUGCAAGCGUUGUCCGGAAUUAUUGGGCGUAAAGAGCUCGUAGGCGGCUUGUCACGUCGACUGUGAAAACCCGGGGCUCAACUCCGGGCCUGCAGUCGAUACGGGCUGGCUUGAGUGCGGUAGGGGAGACUGGAAUUCCUGGUGUAGCGGUGAAAUGCGCAGAUAUCAAGAGGAACACCUGAGGUGAAGACGGGUUGCUGGGCCAACACUGACGCUGAGGCGCGAAAGCCAGGGGAGCAAACGGG